This 380-nucleotide ribosomal RNA is filed under the name uncultured bacterium. Its description in RNAcentral is "bacterial SSU rRNA". It matches the Rfam family "Bacterial small subunit ribosomal RNA", at positions 28 to 410 of the family's 1533-position model. The record is from RNAcentral.
AUUGAACGCUGGCGGCAUGCUUUACACAUGCAAGUCGAGCGGCAGCGCGGGGGCAACCCUGGCGGCGAGCGGCGAACGGGUGAGUAAUGCAUCGGAACGUACCCUGGAGUGGGGGAUAACGCCGCGAAAGCGGCGCUAAUACCGCAUAUGCUCUGAGGAGGAAAGUGGGGGACCGCAAGGCCUCACGCUCUGGGAGCGGCCGAUGUCCGAUUAGCUAGUUGGUGGGGUAAAGGCUUACCAAGGCGACGAUCGGUAGCUGGUCUGAGAGGAUGAUCAGCCACACUGGGACUGAGACACGGCCCAGACUCCUACGGGAGGCAGCAGUGGGGAAUUUUGGACAAUGGGGGCAACCCUGAUCCAGCCAUGCCGCGUGAGUGAAG